UGCAGAAUCCCGUGAACCAUCGAGUCUUUGAACGCAAGUUGCGCCCCAAGCCUUCGGGCCGAGGGCACGUCUGCCUGGGUGUCACAA
This 87-nucleotide ribosomal RNA is filed under the name Eutrema scapiflorum. RNAcentral's name for it is "partial 5.8S ribosomal RNA". It matches the Rfam family "5.8S ribosomal RNA", at positions 73 to 154 of the family's 154-position model. Rfam says of the family: 5.8S ribosomal RNA (5.8S rRNA) is a component of the large subunit of the eukaryotic ribosome. The record is from RNAcentral. Lineage: Eukaryota; Viridiplantae; Streptophyta; Magnoliopsida; Brassicales; Brassicaceae.